This 243-nucleotide unclassified non-coding RNA is filed under the name uncultured fungus. RNAcentral's name for it is "sequence contains ITS2". Lineage: Eukaryota; Fungi. The record is from RNAcentral.
AACGCACAUUGCGCCCCUUGGUAUUCCGGGGGGCAUGCCUGUUCGAGCGUCAUUUCAACCCUCAAGCCUUGCUUGGUCUUGGGCUCUGCCGGCAACGGCUUGCCUUAAACUCAGUGGCGGUGCCAUUCGAGCUCUACGCGUAGUAGUAAAACCCUCGCGAUUGAGUCUUGGUGGAUGCUGGCCAGCAACCCCUCAUUUUCUAUGGUUGACCUCGGAUCAGGUAGGGAUACCCGCUGAACUUAA